AUGAUGGCAACUGGGAAGCCAGGUUCUCAAGCAUAGUUAGGUCAGUCCCUAAAGGGACUUCCCACAGAGAAGGUGAACACCUGUGGUACUGAUGUGAUUGCACUCACCAAGCAGGUGCUGAAGGGCUCCCAGAGCUCUGAGCUGCUAGGUCAAGCAGCUCAAAAUGUGGUACUACAGGAAGAUGCCAUCUUGCACUCAGAAGAUAGUUUAAGGAAAAUGGCAAUAGUAACAAAGUAUCUUCAAUACCAGCAAGAAGUUAUUCAGAAGAAUGUUGAAGAGUCAUCAGAUCUACAAGACCAGUUGAAUCAUCUGUUGAAAUAAAAUGGCAUAUAAGAGUACAAUAGCACUUCUUUGCCUAAUGUUGAGGAAGAAAUAUCUUACACAACU
Molecule: RNA transcript, 387 nt
Organism: Propithecus coquereli (Coquerel's sifaka)
Lineage: Eukaryota; Metazoa; Chordata; Mammalia; Primates; Indriidae
Gene name: UPF0693 protein C10orf32 homolog pseudogene
Exons: 1
Source: RefSeq, a predicted model, not a curated record